Molecule: ribosomal RNA, 430 nt
Filed under: uncultured bacterium
Lineage: Bacteria
Description: partial 16S ribosomal RNA
Rfam family: Bacterial small subunit ribosomal RNA
Source: RNAcentral
AACGAACGCUGGCGGCAGGCUUAACACAUGCAAGUCGAACGCCCCGCAAGGGGAGUGGCAGACGGGUGAGUAACGCGUGGGAACAUACCCUUUUCUACGGCAUAGCCCUGGGAAACUGGAAUUAAUACCGUAUACGCCCUACGGGGAAAGAUUUAUCGGGGUAGGAUUGGCCCGCGUUGGAUUAGCUAGUUGGGGGGGUAAAGGCCUACCAAGGCGACGAUCCAUAGCUGGUCUGAGAGGAUGAUCCGCCACAUUGGGACUGAGACACGGCCCAAACUCCUGCGGGAGGCAGCAGUGGGGAAUAUUGGACAAUGGGCGCAAUCCUGAUCCAGCCAUGCCGCGUGAGUGAUGAAGGCCUUAGGGUUGUAAAGCUCUUUCACCGAUGAAGAUAAUGACGGUAGUCGGAGAAGAAGCCCCGGCUAACUUCGUG